This 372-nucleotide ribosomal RNA is filed under the name uncultured organism. RNAcentral's name for it is "bacterial SSU rRNA". It matches the Rfam family "Bacterial small subunit ribosomal RNA", at positions 526 to 896 of the family's 1533-position model. The record is from RNAcentral.
CGUAGGGGGCUAGCGUUGUCCGGAUUUAUUGGGCGUAAAGAGCGCGUAGGCGGCUAGGUAAGUCCGACGUGAAAUCUGGAGGCUCAACCUCCAGCGGUCGUUGGAAACUACUUGGCUAGAGUCCGGAAGAGGAGAGUGGAAUUCCUGGUGUAGCGGUGAAAUGCGCAGAUAUCAGGAAGAACACCGAUGGCGAAAGCAGCUCUCUGGGACGGUACUGACGCUGAGGCGCGAAAGCGUGGGGAGCGAACAGGAUUAGAUACCCUGGUAGUCCACGCCGUAAACGAUGGGUGCUAGGUGUGAGCGGUGUCGACUCCGCUCGUGCCGAAGCUAACGCAUUAAGCACCCCGCCUGGGGAGUACGGCCGCAAGGCUA